UGCGAUGUGGCACAAUCGGAAGCGCGUCGGGCUCAUAUCCCGAAGGUUAAUGGUUCGAAUCCAUUCAUCGCAA
This 73-nucleotide transfer RNA is filed under the name Bigelowiella natans CCMP2755. Its description in RNAcentral is "tRNA-Met for anticodon CAU". It matches the Rfam family "tRNA". Rfam says of the family: Transfer RNA (tRNA) molecules are approximately 80 nucleotides in length. Their secondary structure includes four short double-helical elements and three loops (D, anti-codon, and T loops). Lineage: Eukaryota; Cercozoa; Chlorarachniophyceae. The record is from RNAcentral.